This 800-nucleotide ribosomal RNA is filed under the name uncultured Thelephoraceae. Its description in RNAcentral is "eukaryotic LSU rRNA". The stretch from base 213 to 367 matches the Rfam family "5.8S ribosomal RNA". Lineage: Eukaryota; Fungi; Basidiomycota; Agaricomycetes; Thelephorales; Thelephoraceae. The record is from RNAcentral.
AGGAUCAUUACCGAAUUGUCAACACGAGUUGUUGCUGGUCCUCAAAUGGGGACAUGUGCACGCUCUGUUUACACAUCCACUCACACCUGUGCACCCUCCAUAGUUCUGCAAGCCUGGGGGUUCUGUUCCCCUGCUGUGGUCCUAUGUAUUUACACACACACACUGUAGUAAAGUCUCAUGGAAUGCAUACCGCGUUUAACGCAAUAUAAUACAACUUUCAGCAACGGAUCUCUUGGCUCUCGCAUCGAUGAAGAACGCAGCGAAAUGCGAUAAGUAAUGUGAAUUGCAGAAUUCAGUGAAUCAUCGAAUCUUUGAACGCACCUUGCGCCCUUUGGCUAUUCCGAAGGGCAUGCCUGUUUGAGUAUCAUGAACACCUCAACUCUCGUGGCCUUGCCAUGAUGAGCUUGGACUUUGGGGGGUCUUGCUGGCCUGUGGUCGGCUCCUCUCAAAUGAAUCAGCUUGCCAGUGUUUGGUGGCGUCACAGGUGUGAUAACUAUCUACGCUUGUGGUUGUUCACCAGGUAACCUUCAGUGAUGAAGGUUCACUGGGGCUCAUAAACAGCAUGUCUCUCCUCACCGAGGACAGCUCUUUGAACGUUUGAUCUCAAAUCAGGUAGGACUACCCGCUGAACUUAAGCAUAUCAAUAAGCGGAGGAAAAGAAACUAACAAGGAUUCCCCUAGUAACUGCGAGUGAAGCGGGAAGAGCUCAAAUUUAAAAUCUGGCGUGCCUCUGGUCGUCCGAGUUGUAGUCUGGAGAAGCGUUUUCUGUGUUGGACCGUGUAUAAGUCUCUUGGAACAGG